GGUUUCGAUUCUGGCUCAGGAUGAACGCUGGCGGCGUGCCUAACACAUGCAAGUCGAGCGAUUACUUCGGUAAAGAGCGGCGGACGGGUGAGUAACGCGUGGGUAACCUGCCUCAUACACAUGGAUAACAUACCGAAAGGUAUGCUAAUACAGGAUAAUAUAAGAGAUUCACAUGGAUUUCUUAUCAAAGCUCCGGCGGUAUGAGAUGGACCCGCGUCUGAUUAGCUAGUUGGUAAGGUAAUGGCUUACCAAGGCGACGAUCAGUAGCCGACCUGAGAGGGUGAUCGGCCACAUUGGAACUGAGACACGGUCCAAACUCCUACGGGAGGCAGCAGUGGGGAAUAUUGCACAAUGGGCGAAAGCCUGAUGCAGCAACGCCGCGUGAGUGAUGAAGGCCUUCGGGUCGUAAAACUCUGUCCUCAAGGAAGAUAAUGACGGUACUUGAGGAGGAAGCCCCGGCUAACUACGUGCCAGCAGCCGC
Molecule: ribosomal RNA, 481 nt
Filed under: uncultured bacterium
Lineage: Bacteria
Description: bacterial SSU rRNA
Rfam family: Bacterial small subunit ribosomal RNA
Source: RNAcentral